GACGAAGGGGGCUAGCGUUGUUCGGAAUUACUGGGCGUAAAGCGAGUGUAGGUGGUUGCCAUAGUCAGGUGUGAAAGCCUUGAGCUCAACUCAAGAAAUGCAUUUGAUACUGGGCGACUAGAGGACCGGAGAGGAUAGUGGAAUUCCCAGUGUAGUGGUGAAAUACGUAGAGAUUGGGAAGAACACCAGUGGCGAAGGCGGCUAUCUGGACGGUUUCUGACACUAAGAAUCGAAAGCGUGGGGAGCAAACAGG
RNAcentral lists this ribosomal RNA (253 nucleotides) under uncultured bacterium. RNAcentral describes it as "partial 16S ribosomal RNA". It matches the Rfam family "Bacterial small subunit ribosomal RNA", at positions 524 to 776 of the family's 1533-position model. The record is from RNAcentral.